RNAcentral lists this ribosomal RNA (491 nucleotides) under uncultured bacterium. RNAcentral's name for it is "partial 16S ribosomal RNA". It matches the Rfam family "Bacterial small subunit ribosomal RNA", at positions 29 to 507 of the family's 1533-position model. The record is from RNAcentral.
AGUGAACGCUGGCGGUAGGCCUAACACAUGCAGGUCGAACGGCAGCACAGUAAGAGCUUGCUCUUACGGGUGGCGAGUGGCGGACGGGUGAGGAAUACAUCGGAAUCUACUUUUUCGUGGGGGAUAACGUAGGGAAACUUACGCUAAUACCGCAUACGACCUACGGGUGAAAGCAGGGGAUCUUCGGACCUUGCGCGAUUGAAUGAGCCGAUGUCGGAUUAGCUAGUUGGCGGGGUAAAGGCCCACCAAGCGACGAUCCGUAGCUGGUCUGAGAGGAUGAUCAGCCACACUGGAACUGAGACACGGUCCAGACUCCUACGGGAGGCAGCAGUGGGGAAUAUUGGACAAUGGGCGCAAGCCUGAUCCAGCCAUACCGCGUGGGUGAAGAAGGCCUUCGGGUUGUAAAGCCCUUUUGUUGGGAAAGAAAAGCAGCAGGUUAAUACCCCGCUGUUCUGACGGUACCCAAAGAAUAAGCACCGGCUAACUUCGUG